This 206-nucleotide ribosomal RNA is filed under the name uncultured bacterium. RNAcentral describes it as "partial 16S ribosomal RNA". It matches the Rfam family "Bacterial small subunit ribosomal RNA", at positions 568 to 774 of the family's 1533-position model. The record is from RNAcentral.
CGCGUAGGCGGCUUUUCAAGUCGGGCGUGAAAUCUCCAGGCUUAACCUGGAAGGGUCGUUCGAUACUGUUAAGCUAGAGUGUGGAAGAGGCUACUGGAAUUCCGUGUGUAGCGGUGAAAUGCGUAGAUAUACGGAGGAACACCUGCGGCGAAGGCGGAUAGCUGGGCCAACACUGACGCUGAUGCGCGAAAGCUAGGGAGCAAACG